This 505-nucleotide ribosomal RNA is filed under the name Staphylococcus pseudintermedius. Its description in RNAcentral is "bacterial SSU rRNA". It matches the Rfam family "Bacterial small subunit ribosomal RNA", at positions 1031 to 1533 of the family's 1533-position model. The record is from RNAcentral. Lineage: Bacteria; Bacillati; Bacillota; Bacilli; Caryophanales; Staphylococcaceae.
GUGACAGGUGGUGCAUGGUUGUCGUCAGCUCGUGUCGUGAGAUGUUGGGUUAAGUCCCGCAACGAGCGCAACCCUUGAACUUAGUUGCCAUCAUUCAGUUGGGCACUCUAAGUUGACUGCCGGUGACAAACCGGAGGAAGGUGGGGAUGACGUCAAAUCAUCAUGCCCCUUAUGAUUUGGGCUACACACGUGCUACAAUGGACAAUACAAAGGGCAGCGAAACCGCGAGGUCAAGCAAAUCCCAUAAAGUUGUUCUCAGUUCGGAUUGUAGUCUGCAACUCGACUACAUGAAGCUGGAAUCGCUAGUAAUCGUAGAUCAGCAUGCUACGGUGAAUACGUUCCCGGGUCUUGUACACACCGCCCGUCACACCACGAGAGUUUGUAACACCCGAAGCCGGUGGAGUAACCAUUUUGGAGCUAGCCGUCGAAGGUGGGACAAAUGAUUGGGGUGAAGUCGUAACAAGGUAGCCGUAUCGGAAGGUGCGGCUGGAUCACCUCCUUUCUA